AGGACGAACGCUGGCGGCGUGCUUAACACAUGCAAGUCGAGCGGAAAGGCCCUUCGGGGUACUCGAGCGGCGAACGGGUGAGUAACACGUGAGCAACCUGCCCCUGGCUCUGGGAUAGCCUCCGGAAACGGGGAUUAAUACCGGACAUUCACUCUUCUGGGCAUCCUAGAGGGUGGAAAGUUUUUUCGGCCGGGGAGGGGCUCGCGGCCUAUCAGCUUGUUGGCGGGGUAACGGCCCACCAAGGCGACGACGGGUAGCCGGCCUGAGAGGGCGACCGGCCACACUGGGACUGAGACACGGCCCAGACUCCUACGGGAGGCAGCAGUGGGGAAUAUUGCGCAAUGGGCGGAAGCCUGACGCAGCGACGCCGCGUGGGGGAUGAAGGCCUUCGGGUUGUAAACCCCUUUCACCAGGAGCGAAUCAAGACGGUACCUGGGGAAGAAGCGCCGGCUAACUACGUGCCAGCAGCCGC
Molecule: ribosomal RNA, 472 nt
Filed under: uncultured bacterium
Lineage: Bacteria
Description: SSU rRNA
Rfam family: Bacterial small subunit ribosomal RNA
Source: RNAcentral